GUUGGAGACCACCUUGGGCCCUGCCAACCCCCUAGCGAGGCCUUUCGGCAUUGUUUUGUGUGGUAAAGGUUACGAAGAGUCUUCCCCGUUCGGAAUUUUGCUGUAAAAAGGGAAAUUACGUGUUGGUGGGAUAUUUUACCACCGUCUACCAGACGGUUUCAUUUCCCUACAGCAUUGGCCGGUGGGCUGUGAGGGGGGUGAUGUGAAAGAAGUGCUGUGAUUGUGGGGCUGUGUCCAGAGGGAGACACUGAAGGCUGAUUUUUGGGACGUUUAAUGAUCCAUUUUAAGUGCAGAAAGGAGUGCUUCUAUAGCAGCACAGUUGCUUUCAUAGAUCUGUUCUUCAUGGCAUUUGAUGACAUCUCAAUUUAGCUACUGUGCGCAUUAAUGAAGACAUGAGCUGUCCCACUCUGUGGCACUUUGACCUCAUCUUCUGCUUUAGAAACAGCACUGUGUUCUCUUGUGUAUCGCCUGACCGCUGCAAGGAUCACUUAAGCAGCGGUGCCCCAGGACCUGGGACACUACUCAGUGCCAUGUGUAGAUAACUAUGACAGUUAACAAAGUGUAUCUGUACUAUUUUAUAAGACUUCGCUAAUAGCACUGUUAUUUUUAGACAUUCUGUUAUGUUUAGAAUCUGGGCAGUAUUUCUCAUUACUGCUUUUCUUGCCCUUAAAUGCAGAGCAAAUGGAGGCCUUGUCCUGGUGAAGAUAAUCUGGAGCCCACUGGGCCAAUAAUGAUCCAGGCUUCUUUUGUUUAAACCCAGGCCUUACCAUGAAGGCGAGUUCUAAAAUUAUUGCAUCAACUACAUUUUGAAAAGAUGAAAGAUGGAGAACCCGUUGCCAGAAGGAUGAAAGAUGGAGAAUCCAUUACCAGAAGGAUGAAAGAUAGAUAAUCCAUUACCAGAAGGAUGAAUGAUGAAGAAUCCAUUACCAGAAGGAGGCUGCUUCAUUCUCCCGUAAAACAAAGUCCUUUCAUGGAGGUGCAGCAGAGAUGACAAGAGCUGUCUGGAUGUGGAGAAUGAUCUCUCUUUUGAAGCAGUCCUGCCUGGAAAGGUUGAGUUGAAUUGGUGCAUGAUGCUGUGUCGAUUCCUUAUUGGAGGGAUCGUAUCUUCAGGUUUGGCAAUUAGGAUAAUAUGUUAAACAUUGUAUUUAGUCAAAAUAAAUACAUAUAAGUUAAAAAAAUAUGGAAGAAAAUUAUUUUCUUGUUGAUAUUGCUUGGAGGAAAGCUUAGCAAUGAAGCUUGUGGCAAUAUCUAGAUUAGACAUGACUGGCAGGUCCAUUUGUUUCAAUAGUACUCUCUGAACAAGGUGAAAACAGCUAUGAACAUGGCUGUAAUUUUGGAGAAAGACAGUAGUGAUCUUCUUUCAAACUUCAUUAGGAAGCCAUUUUCCUAUGGAAAGGAACGUGCAGAGUUAGGGACAGCUUAAAAAUAACAUGUAGGAAAAAUGCACCACUCUACUGGUAUCAGGUGAAACGAGUGCGACACCAUUGUGCAUAAAGGGACAGGUUUUCCAAGCUCUACCUCCAAAAGAUGAAUAGGGCUUUAAAAACAGUAGCUGAAAAUAGCUGCACCUUGCUGAAUGUUUAUUUCCAAGUCAAGACUGUGCCCUGCCUGUGUAAAUAGAAAAUGAAUGUGAACUGCAUCAUUUGGGCCCAUAUCUUCAAGGAAGAUACAAGUACUAUGUUUCUGAUGUAGUAAUAUAUUUGUGAGUAUCUUCCUUUAAGCCUUCUUAUUCUACUGUGAUGAGACAGUAGAAUAUGACAGAAUGUUUCCAGGAGUUGAUACUUCUGUUAAAUAAAAUUGAUUCUAUUUGAAGGAGAUGGAGAGAGAACCCUUUACAGUAAAUCUGAUGCAUCAGAGAUCCACUAUCACCUUUUUUUUACUGCUACUAGACAGAGAAGGGUCAAAACAAGCAAAAAUAAAAAAGGAAAAGCAAGACACUAGAAAAUAAAUGAUGGGAAAAGUAGUAGCAAAUAGGAAAUGGAAGAGAAGUGGAAUGAGAAAGGGGUGGAAAGAGAAAGUAACAUUUACAUAUAAAGAAAGGAAAAAAGUACAGGGAAAUAACUGACAAUGAUGUCACUGAUUCGCAGCUUCCCCUAACUUCAAAUCAAAACAAAAUACUGGCAUGAUGAAACUCUGCAAAGCAAAAGAGACCUCCCCUUCACUGCCAGAAGGGAAUUUCAGCAGCUUGGCAGAAUAAUCCACAGAUCGAAAAUGCUUUCCUCAGCAUUGACUGUUGAUAGAUGGAAGUUGUAGGAUUAUCUCAGUCCAGACAGAAAAGACUUAACCCUGAUUGCACUUACCUGUAAAUUUAAGUAAAACUGAUUUGGGGGAUUAAAUAAUGGCUUUGCAAAAGUACUGAGUUCAGCUGCGAGGAUCACACAUGUAUUCUUCCCUUACUUUGAACUCCAGUAUUUUUGGACCAACUCCUCCAUGGAAGAAGAGUUGCUGCACUAGCCUUAGGGUACCACUUAAGUUUAGAUUUAAUAAUGGGAUUUUUCAUGCCAUGCAGGCAUUAACCUGCUUUGAGCAGGAGACUGGAUCAGAUGAUUUCCUAAGGUCCCUCUCAACCUGAAUUAUCAUGUGAUCCUAUGAUUCGAGGCUAACACUGUGAUUUUGCUGUUACAGGUACAGAAAGUGCCAUUUUAAAAAGAAAGCUGUCUUUAGCAUUGUUCUAUUUAAAGCAGAAGCAAAGCUUUCACUGUAUGUCUCGAAACAUUCCAGACAUCAAAUAUUAAAACCACCAAAUAAAACCUUAAAAAUGGUUUUGAUGGCGUCUGUGACAAUAGUUUCUUUCCCUUAAUGAAACAAAAUCUCCUAAUCUAGACUUUAGUGGAAAAUGAGAAACUUACCCAGCCACCAUUUGCAUCUAUCCAUUCGGCUUUGUUGUUUAUUAUGUACUCUGUGAUGAAAUAAGAAAUCUGCUCCUUUUCCUCUCCAGUGAGCUGAACUCCAUGCUCUUGGAGCUUCUUAGUGAGAAGACCUCCAAAUGUAAAUAUGGUCAUAAUUCGUCCCCAGUUAGUAUUUCCAUCAGCAAAUUUUUCUUCCAUGACACCAUUGAAAAUUCUCUUGGCUACAGCUACAGAGGUAAUGUCAAUCCUGUCCAGGAAUGGUCUGAGAGCCUCCUCGGUUUGAUCUUGCAGUGAAGAUGCAAUGUUUCGCAAGACAUGAGCAACUCUGGUUUGAGCUGGUCCAAGAUGUGACUCCUGAAGCACAUACUGCAGAUAAUCUUGAGCUAAGUAAUAAACGUAGUAGAAGUCAGCAGUUUCCAUUUAGAACAAAAUGCAGAGAGCAGUGCACCACUCUUGAUCAGGGUCAAUAAUGAGCAGGCACAAGACGUGCACACAGCUUUGUAUCGUCUAGUUUUGGUGGAAUUUUUUUUGACUUAACAAUAGUGUGGGUUGUGGAAUAUGUCACAGCGGAAAUGAAAGAAAAAGUGUGUGCUCAAGGGGAGAAACAUGUCUUCCUGAGAGAUUUAUUAGUUCUCUAAAUAGACCAGCUUUUACCAUAUUCUUUAGCAGCAUAAAUUGGCAUUUCCUAGGGACUUUUGCUAUGUAACACUAGCAAAAAUUUGGCAUUUGGCUUACAGAAUUCCAAGAAUGGUGUAUGCUAGCAAAGGUUUGGCAUUUGGCUUACAGAAUUCUGAGAAUGGUGUAUGCUAGCAAAGGUUUGGCAUUUGGCUUACAGAAUUCUGAGAAUGGUGUAUGCUAGCAAAGGUUUGGCAUUUGGCUUGAAAAAACAUACCUAAAAAAUAUAUGCUAUAGGAGCAUGCAGCCCCCUCUCCCUCCCACCUUCCCUUACCCUAAUCUCUUCACUGCUAGGGGUUAAAGUUGCAAUCUGUAUUUCAGGUUAAUGGGUUAUUUCUGGUUCACAGCUUUUUGAAGAUACUGAUAGGUAUUUCCAAUGGCAUGGGAGAAUGGAUAAAGUUUCUUCAGCAUUCAGGAAGCUUUGCAUGACUGCAAGAAGUGGUACAAGUAUGGAUGGAAAAAAGGAGAAAGCCAGCUUUAUAGCAUUAUCCUGUUCCAGACUUUCCCACACUCUCUUGAGUAAAUUUUGAGUGUAACAGGAAGAUGCUCAAGGCUGGUCUUGGCAUACCCCAUCAUCUGGACCUUCAGACCAAGCACUUAGGCUGGCAUCCGCAUCCCUUGGGUAAAUGGGAUUCUGCAAAAUGACAGUGCAGCUUGUGCGGGCAGGGGACAGGCCCCAUCCCAAAAUUGAAGAGAAUGAAGAGAAUGCUACAUACAAGAGCAAAGCACAGUGGAAAGCAGAUUUUAUAAGACAGUGUUUACGAAGAACUUGAAUUACUUACACACCCCAACUUUCUCAUGGCUGAAGCACACAGGAACCCAUCGUACCUUCACAUGUGGGAUGUUAUACUCUAGGCGGUGUGACUUUCAGAAAUACCAGAGUUUUGCUAAGUGAAAUAAAUAAAUUCAGCUGCAGUCUG
Strigops habroptila (Kakapo) is the source of this 4444-nucleotide long non-coding RNA. RefSeq lists it as uncharacterized. The transcript has 5 exons. The record is from RefSeq and is a predicted model, not a curated record. NCBI's taxonomy places the organism in Eukaryota, Metazoa, Chordata, Aves, Psittaciformes, Psittacidae.